AGCUCAUCCAGAGGAGCAGAGGGUACGGCCCGACGAAGCUCCGGCAACCGCCCAGGACCCCCCGCAUUCGCGAGGCCCGGCCUGGGAGCAGGUGCCAAAUCCGGCCCGUCGACAGUCGGCGGGGAAGAUGAGGG
This 134-nucleotide non-coding RNA is filed under the name Actinospica robiniae. Its description in RNAcentral is "SAM-I sequence". It matches the Rfam family "SAM riboswitch aptamer (S box leader)". Rfam says of the family: The SAM riboswitch is found upstream of a number of genes which code for proteins involved in methionine or cysteine biosynthesis in Gram-positive bacteria. RNAcentral also lists the same sequence under 1 other name. Lineage: Bacteria; Bacillati; Actinomycetota; Actinomycetes; Catenulisporales; Actinospicaceae. The record is from RNAcentral.